CAGGGUUUCUCUGUGUAGCUUUGUGCCUCUCCUGGAACUCACUCUGUAGCCCAGGCUGGCCUCGAACUCACAGAGAUCCUCCUGCUUCUGCCUCCCGAGUGCUGGGAUUAAAGCUGUGUGCCACCACUGCCUGGUGGGAGUUUAUGUCUUAAUGUUAUCAGCCUGACUUUGGUUCAACAAACAGAUGCCUGGGAACUUGCCCUUGAGCAAUUCGUCUCCAGGAGCAACUAAUAUAUUUUGGAUUUGAAAAAGCUGACUUUGUAGCUGAGAAUACUGUCAUUUUUCUAUGUUAGUUUGAGUUGGAAAAAUAGCCUAGUAUUAUUUCUAUCCAUCAAAAUUAUACAGGUUAAGCAGAAAUCAUCUUCCUGACCAUCCACUGCUGUAAAUGUGCCCAAUAGAUGGGAUAUAUAGAUGAGAUAAACACACAAGCAGUUCUUAGGGAAAGAAGGAAAGUAGAAAAGUAGGAAAACACCCAUAGCAGUUCUUAAGGAAGAAAUGUAGUGGUACAUGAGAAAAACUACAGAUGGAAGUAAUCAGCCUUCUAUAGUCAGUAACCCUACGGUCUUUGCCAAAUGGGGCUCCCCAUCAGAGAGUUAUUCAUCUGGUGGGUCAACCUGUUGAAUACUAGUUGUCACCUGCUGUAUACCCCCAUGGCCUCCAGCAGACAAGAUCCCAAGAGACCCACAGGGUGGGACAGCAGCACAGCCGGGAUGACACUAAGUCCCCAGUGUGCUGGAGGAUCCUCAGUCACUUCAUUGUUCUGCCUUUGACCUUUCUCCAAUUUAUGGAAAGUGAAAGGGGCUGUACUCUCAGCUGAAAAGCAUGAGCUCUGGGCCACCUUAAACUUCAUUAAACUAGAACUCCCUAAUAUUUUUUGAAAUAAUAUUUCCAAAAAGGACUCCCAAACUCACUCCUUUAUUUCCUAAUCCCCAAUUCUCUGAUACAGUAUUAACACUUGACCAUUUGUCAUUCUUCCUGCUUCAUGGGUAUGUAUACUGACGAGAAUGCACAUACCUCUGGAAGAAGCUGCAGAUAUGAUGUUCUACUUGUCUUUGAUACUCCAAGGUACAAAUCCUAAAGAUCUUCAUCCUGUGUAACCACAGUAGUCUUCAAAACUGGAAAGAGAAAGCAUUCUACGAAAGAAUACUCUGGCAAUACAGCAGACGAGACACGCCAGGAAGAGGCUUUGAUUAUAUUAGAAGUCUCCUCAGCAAGGACAGUGGCCAUUGUAGCUGAGCUGGAUCUGUCUGCAGGAGAGGGGGACCCCAGCCCACGGAGUGAUGCCAUCCAUACAGAAGAAGAGUCUUCUCUGACCAGCUCAGCAUCUCUGGACACACCCUCAUAUACACACCCAGAGCACAGGUGACAACAUUCCAGGGAAGUGUUUUACAGAGUGCAGGAAGCAGCAUUAACAAGGCGACAUUCUCAGCCGUCAACGCGUAUUUCUUUUUGAUAACAAGCAUCUUGUCGGUGACAACAGCGUGGCAGCACAGAGAGCCUGCCACACUGAAGUUCAAGAAGUACAAUCUGCUCUGUGAAACAUGUGCCUGAAGGCUUUCUUGGUCCUCAAGUCACCGUGUCCGUCCUUAGGACUUGGGGAUUCAGGAAUGACUCACCCGGUGCUGAUCCCUUAAAAUGCUGCUUCUCUGCAGUAUACCCGUUUUGUUGAUAGAACUACAUAAGAACAUCUUAAAAUACAGCCUGGUCUCUCUACUCACUGACAACUGUGUGGAGGAGGCCAGGCUUAAAAAGGUGUAGGGCAAGGAGCUAUGACUGCACUGGGGCGUUGUCCUGGAUCCUGGCAGCUUUGCAGGAGAAGCUGACAG
Peromyscus eremicus (cactus mouse) is the source of this 1826-nucleotide long non-coding RNA. RefSeq lists it as uncharacterized. The transcript has 4 exons. The record is from RefSeq and is a predicted model, not a curated record. NCBI's taxonomy places the organism in Eukaryota, Metazoa, Chordata, Mammalia, Rodentia, Cricetidae.